UUACGGUCAAAUCACGCUGAAAACACCGGUUCUCGUUCGAUCACCGAAGUUAAGCAUCGUAGAGCCAGGUCAGUAACACCUGGUACUAGAUGGGGGAGC
Acanthosepion pharaonis is the source of this 99-nucleotide non-coding RNA. The record is from the annotation of a GenBank genome assembly. Lineage: Eukaryota; Metazoa; Mollusca; Cephalopoda; Sepiida; Sepiidae.